RNAcentral lists this ribosomal RNA (448 nucleotides) under uncultured Thermoplasmatales archaeon. Its description in RNAcentral is "bacterial SSU rRNA". It matches the Rfam family "Archaeal small subunit ribosomal RNA", at positions 889 to 1338 of the family's 1478-position model. The record is from RNAcentral. Lineage: Archaea; Methanobacteriati; Thermoplasmatota; Thermoplasmata; Thermoplasmatales.
AGGAGCGUGCGGUUCAAUUGGAUUCAACGCCGGACAACUCACCAGGAGCGACGGUUACAUGAAGGCCAGGCUGAUGACCUUGCCUGAUUUUCCGAGAGGUGGUGCAUGGCCGUCGUCAGUUCGUACCGUAAGGCGUUCUCUUAAGUGAGAUAACGAACGAGACCCUCACCGUUAAUUGCUAGUGUUCUCUCCGGAGGGCACGUACAUUAACGGGACCGCUGUCGCUAAGACAGAGGAAGGAGAGGUCAACGGUAGGUCCGUAUGCCCCGAAUCUCCUGGGCUACACGCGCGCUACAAAGGUUGGGACAAUGGGCUCCGACAUCGAAAGGUGAAGGCAAUCUCGAAACCCAAUCGUAGUUCGGAUUGAGGGUUGUAACUCACCCUCAUGAAGCUGGAUUCCGUAGUAAUCGCUUGUCAACAUCAAGCGGUGAAUAUGCCCCUGCUCCUU